Molecule: ribosomal RNA, 200 nt
Filed under: Salmonella enterica
Lineage: Bacteria; Pseudomonadati; Pseudomonadota; Gammaproteobacteria; Enterobacterales; Enterobacteriaceae
Also listed under: 3 other names
Description: partial 23S ribosomal RNA
Rfam family: Bacterial large subunit ribosomal RNA
Source: RNAcentral
GGGUUGUGAGGUUAAGCGACUAAGCGUACACGGUGGAUGCCCUGGCAGUCAGAGGCGAUGAAGGACGUGCUAAUCUGCGAUAAGCGCCGGUAAGGUGAUAUGAACCGUUAUAACCGGCGAUUUCCGAAUGGGGAAACCCAGUGUGAUUCGUCACACUAUCAUUAACUGAAUCCAUAGGUUAAUGAGGCGAACCGGGGGAA